RNAcentral lists this long non-coding RNA (1307 nucleotides) under Anser brachyrhynchus (Pink-footed goose). Its description in RNAcentral is "lncRNA (ENSABRG00000018331.1)". Lineage: Eukaryota; Metazoa; Chordata; Aves; Anseriformes; Anatidae. The record is from RNAcentral.
AGAGAGAAGGUGACAUUAAAACGGAAAGCAUGUCCUGUAGGCUUAUGAAAUCAAGAUAGUAUUGUAGAAAAUAGAACAAGAAUAGCAACUGAUUAUACCCUAAUAUUGUAAACUAACUAGGAUGCCAGUUUAACAAAUGUUGUUUAAUAUGAAAUUUCUAAGGACCAGAGCAUGCAUAGCAUUGAAACAUGUCUUUGUGAUAAAGCCAUUUAGAAUUUUUUGUUGAACAUAAAUAUCUUGCAAUUCAAUUCAACCUGAGAAAUAUUUGUUUUUUGUCCAUGAACUGCUGAGGUUUUUUAUUUGGCUAUCUGGAAUUAAAGGGCCAACUAGUAAAGUGUUUUAAGUCACCAGAACUCUGCCAGUUUUCACAAAGUUGUAGUAGUCAAGGGUACAGCUUAAAAUGUCUUGUCUCAGACCACGUCUCACUCUCCUCAGCAAACUUCAAAUGAAGUUAUGAAAGAGUCUUCCUUUGUGGUAGUACUUUUCAUAGAAUCUGUUUUAGGGGAGGAGGAAGCAUAUUGAACUUUUACUUGUUCUGGCUUUUCUCUGGCAUACACAAAAUCUCACACCUGAGAUGUUCUGUAUCCAAACUAACAGUGUGAACCACAAGUUAUUCUCAAAGCAACUUUUACUGGUUAUAUACACUAUGAACACCUCAUUUUAACUUCUAGAAACUAUGCAUCUUGACUGCGAAGCUCUGCUGAGUGUCUGAGUCUAAUGUUGUCCCAGCCACAACUUGCAGCCAGACAUACCAUAUGUAAGAGUACUGUGUAUUUGGACCUUAUCUAGACAUACAGACCUGGAAGAAGAACAUCAGUUUGUGCUGUUUCCAUCACUCAUCACACUGCUGGAACUGCUCCAUUCACUGAGACACAGUUUACAAAAAGAAGAGCACCAAAAUAUACAACAGAGAGCAAGGGAGAUGUAGGAGUACAGCAGCCAACAUUUAGGAUUUGAAACUGCUUAUGAUUCAGGGAAAAUUCUUACCUGCACAACUAUAGAAGUGAUUAAGAAAAGUAUCCUGUUCUGGGAGAAGACCAAAGAAAGCCUCAUUGGAAGAUACAACUGCAUUUCAUAAGUUUCAUAUAUCUCAUAUGUCUUCAUAUAUCUCGGUAAACCUGUACCUCUAUAAAGGCUUUGUGCCACUAUGUCAGGUGGCUGGUGACUAAAUAGUCAUUUGGGGAUUAUACAUAGCUUCUGAACACAUUGGCACUUAGGGAUAUGUUUGGAAAGUAAUCCUACUUUCUGAUUUUUUGCUGUUCGUGGGAUAAAAAGUAGGUAAAAGUGUAGCCUUUUCUGAUUGCUAU